This 177-nucleotide unclassified non-coding RNA is filed under the name uncultured fungus. RNAcentral's name for it is "sequence contains ITS1, 5.8S rRNA gene". Lineage: Eukaryota; Fungi. The record is from RNAcentral.
UCGAGUUAGGGUCUGCUAGGCCCGAUCUCCAACCCUUUGUAUAACUACCAUGUUGCUUUGGCGAGCCCGUCUUUAACCGGACCGCCGGAGGUGUUAUAGCCUUUGGCCCGUGCUCGUCAGUAGCCCACAAUUAAAAUCUUUUAACCAUGUUAAAUCUGAAAAUAGUUAAAUAAACUA